UGGCAAUGAUGAUAAAAGGCCGAACUUACGGCUGCCACCAUAUGGUUGGUAGUAGAUUGAUUAAUGUUUAGGCAAGGUAUUUUUCUGAGCCAG
Molecule: small nucleolar RNA, 93 nt
Filed under: Olea europaea subsp. europaea
Lineage: Eukaryota; Viridiplantae; Streptophyta; Magnoliopsida; Lamiales; Oleaceae
Description: Small nucleolar RNA snoR113
Rfam family: Small nucleolar RNA snoR113
Source: Rfam by way of RNAcentral